This 62-nucleotide transfer RNA is filed under the name Metaperipatus inae. Its description in RNAcentral is "tRNA-Val". The record is from RNAcentral. Lineage: Eukaryota; Metazoa; Onychophora; Udeonychophora; Euonychophora; Peripatopsidae.
AAGAUAUUAAGUUAGAUUAAAUUUUUGAUACCACAAAUCAAAGUUUACACUAUUAUAUUUAA